RNAcentral lists this ribosomal RNA (505 nucleotides) under uncultured bacterium. RNAcentral describes it as "partial 16S ribosomal RNA". It matches the Rfam family "Bacterial small subunit ribosomal RNA", at positions 28 to 507 of the family's 1533-position model. The record is from RNAcentral.
GACGAACGCUGGCGGCGUGCCUAAUACAUGCAAGUAGAACGCACAGUUUAUACCGUAGCUUGCUACACCAUAGACUGUGAGUUGCGAACGGGUGAGUAACGCGUAGGUAACCUGCCUGGUAGCGGGGGAUAACUAUUGGAAACGAUAGCUAAUACCGCAUAAUAUUGAUUAUUGCAUGAUAAUUGAUUGAAAGAUGCUAUUGCAUCACUACCAGAUGGACCUGCGUUGUAUUAGCUAGUAGGUGAGGUAACGGCUCACCUAGGCGACGAUACAUAGCCGACCUGAGAGGGUGAUCGGCCACACUGGGACUGAGACACGGCCCAGACUCCUACGGGAGGCAGCAGUAGGGAAUCUUCGGCAAUGGACGAAAGUCUGACCGAGCAACGCCGCGUGAGUGAAGAAGGUUGUCGGAUCGUAAAGCUCUGUUGUAAGAGAAGAACGGGUGUGAGAGUGGAAAGUUCGCACUGUGACGGUAUCUUACCAGAAAGGGACGGCUAACUACGUG